CCUACGGGAGGCAGCAGUGAGGAAUAUUGGUCAAUGGACGAGAGUCUGAACCAGCCAAGUAGCGUGAAGGAUGACUGCCCUAUGGGUUGUAAACUUCUUUUAUAUGGGAAUAAAAUGUUCCACGUGUGGGAUUUUGUAUGUACCAUAUGAAUAAGGAUCGGCUAACUCCGUGCCAGCAGCCGCGGUAAUAAGGAGGAUCCGAGCGUUAUCCGGAUUGAUUGGGUUUAAAGGGAGCGUAUGUGGAUUGUUAAGUCAGUUGUGAAAGUUUGCGGCUCAACCGUAAAAUUGCAGUUGAAACUGGCAGUCUUGAGUACAGUAGAGGUGGGCGGAAUUCGUGGUGUAGCGGUGAAAUGCUUAGAUAUCACGAAGAACUCCGAUUGCGAAGGCAGCUCACUGGACUGCAACUGACACUGAGGCUCGAAAGUGUGGGUAUCAAACAGGAUUAGAUACCCUGGUAGUC
This 460-nucleotide ribosomal RNA is filed under the name uncultured bacterium. RNAcentral describes it as "partial 16S ribosomal RNA". It matches the Rfam family "Bacterial small subunit ribosomal RNA", at positions 338 to 795 of the family's 1533-position model. The record is from RNAcentral.